UUUGACUCUUCGUCUUAUUUAAAAUUUUUUUGUAAUUAAUAUUUUUAUUCUUACUAGAUAAUAAAACAUAAAUAGUAUUUUAUGUGUGAUAAAUUUUUUUAAGUUUUUGCAUAAAAUUUUUAAAUAAAACAAAUGGUCAAA
This 141-nucleotide microRNA precursor is filed under the name Oryza brachyantha (malo sina). RNAcentral's name for it is "MIR812 microRNA precursor family". It matches the Rfam family "MIR812 microRNA precursor family", at positions 33 to 173 of the family's 205-position model. Lineage: Eukaryota; Viridiplantae; Streptophyta; Magnoliopsida; Poales; Poaceae. The record is from Rfam by way of RNAcentral.